GUUAUUUUAUAAGAACACGGACGGCAUUUUCUACCAGAAAGAAUGAUUUAACCGAAAAAUCGCGAGAUACCUUUUUUAUUGCCUUUUUGAUUUAAUUUCUCUCGGUAUUAUCGUUAAAACUUUAGAGCCACUUUUGAGUCUUUAUGGAAUUUUAAUUUUUGAGAGUUUUUUGCUAUAAUUCGGUUAUAAAUACACGUAAAAACUUGAAACUUCUGUUAUAUUGAAAUUUCCUAGCCGUGGUAAAAUUUCAAAAAUCAUCGGACGACUUUUUUUUCCUUUUUUAAUAAUAGUUUUGCAAUCACAUUUAAACGAAAAUCACA
Cinara cedri is the source of this 320-nucleotide non-coding RNA. The record is from the annotation of a GenBank genome assembly. NCBI's taxonomy places the organism in Eukaryota, Metazoa, Arthropoda, Insecta, Hemiptera, Aphididae.